AGACGGAGGGUGCUAACGUUGCUCGGAAUUACUGGGCGUAAAGCGCGUGUAGGCGGGUCGGAAAGCGAGAUGUGAAAGCCCUCGGCUCAACCGAGGAAGUGCAUUUCGAACUAUCGACCUUGAGUGCGGGAGAGGGUGGUAGAAUUCCCGGUGUAGAGGUGAAAUUCGUAGAUAUCGGGAGGAAUACCGGUGGCGAAGGCGGCCACCUGGACCGACACUGACGCUGAGACGCGAAAGCGUGGGGAGCAAACAGGAUUAGAAACCCUAGUAGUCC
RNAcentral lists this ribosomal RNA (274 nucleotides) under uncultured bacterium. RNAcentral describes it as "partial 16S ribosomal RNA". It matches the Rfam family "Bacterial small subunit ribosomal RNA", at positions 523 to 796 of the family's 1533-position model. The record is from RNAcentral.